RNAcentral lists this ribosomal RNA (527 nucleotides) under Comamonas sp. enrichment culture. RNAcentral describes it as "bacterial SSU rRNA". It matches the Rfam family "Bacterial small subunit ribosomal RNA", at positions 355 to 875 of the family's 1533-position model. Lineage: Bacteria; Pseudomonadati; Pseudomonadota; Betaproteobacteria; Burkholderiales; Comamonadaceae. The record is from RNAcentral.
UGGGGAAUUUUGGACAAUGGGCGCAAGCCUGAUCCAGCAAUGCCGCGUGCAGGAUGAAGGCCUUCGGGUUGUAAACUGCUUUUGUACGGAACGAAAAGCCCUGGGUUAAUACCCUGGGGUCAUGACGGUACCGUAAGAAUAAGCACCGGCUAACUACGUGCCAGCAGCCGCGGUAAUACGUAGGGUGCGAGCGUUAAUCGGAAUUACUGGGCGUAAAGCGUGCGCAGGCGGUUUUGUAAGACAGAGGUGAAAUCCCCGGGCUCAACCUGGGAACUGCCUUUGUGACUGCAAGGCUAGAGUACGGCAGAGGGGGAUGGAAUUCCGCGUGUAGCAGUGAAAUGCGUAGAUAUGCGGAGGAACACCGAUGGCGAAGGCAAUCCCCUGGGCCUGUACUGACGCUCAUGCACGAAAGCGUGGGGAGCAAACAGGAUUAGAUACCCUGGUAGUCCACGCCCUAAACGAUGUCAACUGGUUGUUGGGUCUUAACUGACUCAGUAACGAAGCUAACGCGUGAAGUUGACCGCCUG